AUACAGAGGUCUCAACCGUUGUUCGGAUUCAUUGGGCGUAAAGGGUGCGUAGGCGGUCGCGCAAGUCGGAUGUGAAAUCUCAGGGCUCAACCCUGAAACUGCAUUCGAUACUGCGUGGCUAGAGUGCUGGAGAGGAGACUGGAAUUUACGGUGUAGCAGUGAAAUGCGUAGAUAUCGUAAGGAAGACCAGUGGCGAAGGCGAGUCUCUGGACAGCAACUGACGCUGAGGCACGAAGGCCAGGGGAGCAAACGGGA
Molecule: ribosomal RNA, 255 nt
Filed under: uncultured prokaryote
Description: partial 16S ribosomal RNA
Rfam family: Bacterial small subunit ribosomal RNA
Source: RNAcentral